This 669-nucleotide ribosomal RNA is filed under the name Candona sp. 9 IK-2020. RNAcentral describes it as "partial large subunit ribosomal RNA". It matches the Rfam family "Bacterial large subunit ribosomal RNA", at positions 1795 to 2629 of the family's 2925-position model. The record is from RNAcentral. Lineage: Eukaryota; Metazoa; Arthropoda; Ostracoda; Podocopida; Candonidae.
CUCGCCUGUUUAACAAAAACAUCACCUCUAGCAUCACCAGUAUUAGAGGCACCGCCUGCCCAGUGACACAUGUUUAAUCCUCGCCUUGUUAACAAAAACAUUUUCUUUAGGUUUUAUUAAAGAUAAGGCCUGCUCAAUGAAGAUUUAAAUGGCCGCAGUAUAAUGACUGUGCUAAGGUAGCAUAAUAAUUUGCCUUUUAAUUGGGGGCUGGAAUGAAAGGUUUUAUGGGGAAUAGCUGUCUUAAAAUAAAUAGUUGAAUUUAAGUUUUGCAUAAAAACUUGCAAUUACUCUUAAGGGACGAGAAGACCCUGUGGAUUUUUAUUUGUUAGAGAAUAAGUUUUAUAAUAUUUUAUUUUUUAUCCAAAUUUGGUUGGGAUGACAGUGAAAUUAACUUUAUUAAAAAAAUAAUACAGUUCCUUUUUAAGGAAAAAAGAACAAAUUACCCCAGGGAUAACAGCGUAAUACUUUUGGACAGGACAAAUGGAUAAAAGUGUUUGCGACCUCGAUGUUGAAUUAAAAUUUCUUUAUUAAGCAUAAAUAAUAAAAGUAAGUCUGUUCGACUUUUAAAAUUUUACAUGAUUUGAGUUCAGACCGGUACCGAUGGUGCAGCCGCUAUUAAAGGUUCGUUUGUUCAACGAUUAAAGUCCUACAUGAUUUGAGUUCAGACCG